AACGAACGCUGGCGGCAUGCCUAACACAUGCAAGUCGAACGAGACCUCCGUAUCUAGUGGCUCACAGGUGCGUAACGCGUGGGAACCGGCACUUAUGCUUCGAAUUACACCUCGAAGGGGGGGCUAACACCGGAAAAUUUCCUCGAACAAAAGAUUUAUCGUCCUUGGAAGGGCCCGCGUUGGAUUAGCCAGGGGGUAGGGGAAAAGCCUACCACGGCGACGCUCCAUAGCUGGUUUGAGAGGCUGAGCAGCCACUCUGCGACUGAGACACGGCCCAGACUCCUACGGGAGGGAGCAGUGGCGAAUAUUGGACAAUGGGCGAAAGCCUGAUCCAGCUAUGCCGCGUGAGUGAUGAAGGCCGUAGGGUUGUAAAGCUCUUUUACCCGGGAUGAUAAUGACAGUACCGGGAGAAUAAGCUCCGGCUAACUCCGUG
Molecule: ribosomal RNA, 433 nt
Filed under: uncultured bacterium
Lineage: Bacteria
Description: partial 16S ribosomal RNA
Rfam family: Bacterial small subunit ribosomal RNA
Source: RNAcentral